Molecule: transfer-messenger RNA, 316 nt
Filed under: Rhodovastum atsumiense
Lineage: Bacteria; Pseudomonadati; Pseudomonadota; Alphaproteobacteria; Acetobacterales; Acetobacteraceae
Description: Alphaproteobacteria transfer-messenger RNA
Rfam family: Alphaproteobacteria transfer-messenger RNA
About the family: Bacterial tmRNA, also known as 10Sa RNA or SsrA, is named for its dual tRNA and mRNA-like properties. Its role is to liberate the mRNA from a stalled ribosome. To accomplish this part of the tmRNA is used as a reading frame that ends in a translation stop signal.
Source: Rfam by way of RNAcentral
ACCCUUCAAUCCGGCGCCACACCACCCUAUAUUCGUCCUGCCGGCUUGCCGGCUAUGGCGAUAAACGGUGCGUGGAAUAAGCGUUGUGGACCCGGGGGCAGUGCCCGGCGCCUCCACCAUGGACCCGGUGAACCCGAGUCGUGGCUAGGGGGGCGAAACAGGAUCGACACGCGUGGUAAAGACCCAUCUUUUGCCCGGCAUGGUUCCGCCGUCAUCGGGCCAAUUCACAAGUGCCAACGACAACGUGGCGCUCGCUGCCGCUGCAUAAGCGGUAAGCGCGGUCCGGGGGGCACCGGGCAACAGAAGCCCCCCAACU